RNAcentral lists this long non-coding RNA (1537 nucleotides) under Homo sapiens (human). RNAcentral describes it as "PREDICTED lncRNA (TCONS_00041429)". Lineage: Eukaryota; Metazoa; Chordata; Mammalia; Primates; Hominidae. The record is from RNAcentral.
GCUAGACUGUCCUUAGAAGUCUCACUUUCCCUGUUCUCCAGGUCUUUGAGUCCAUUCUUUGAUUUGAAUGGUAGAGAUGAUGUCUUGCCACAUUGCCCAGGCUGGUCUCAAACUCCAGGCCUAAAGGGAUCUUCUGACUUUGGCCUCCCAAAGUGCUGAGAUUAUAGGAUCGAGGCUAUCAAGCUACAGAUGAUCUUACAAAUGGAACCCCAAAUGAGCUCAACUAACAACUACCAAGGACCCCUGGACCAACCCGCUGGCCCUUUCAAUGGCCUAAAGAGUUCCCCUCUGGAGGACACUACAACUGCAGGGUCCUUUCUUUGCCCCUAUCCAGCAGGAAGUAGCUAGAGUGGUCAUCACCCAAUUCCCAACAGCAGUUGGGGUGUCUUGUUAAGUGGGGAGAUUGAGAGGUGAAGCCAGCUGGGCUUCUGGGUUGGGUGGGGACUUGGAGAACUUUUCUGUCUAGCUAGAGGAUUGUAAACACACCAAUCAGUGCUAUGUGUCUAGCUAGAGGUUUGUAAAUGCACCAAUCAGCACUCUGUAAAAACGGACCAAUCAGCACUCUGUAAAAUGGACCAAUCAGUAGGAUGCGGGCAGGGCCAAAUAAGGGAAUAAAAGCUGGCCACCUGAGUCAGCAGUGGCAACCCACUCGGGUCCCCUUCCAUGCUGUGGAAGCUUUGUUCUUUCACUCUUCACAAUAAAUCUUGCUGCUGCUCACUCUUUGGGUCCACACCACCUUUAUGAGCUGCAACACUCACUGCGAAGGUCUUCAGCUUCACUCCUGAAGUCAGCGAGACCACGAACCCAUGGGGAGGAACAAUCGACUUCAGACAUGCCACCUUUAAGAGCUGUAACACUCACUGCGAAGGUCUGUGGCUUCACUCCUGAAGUCAGCAAGACCACGAACCCACUGGAAGGAAGAAAUUUCGGACACAUCUGAACAUCUGAAUGAACAAACUCUGGACACGCCAUCUUUAAGAACUGUAACACUCACUGUGAGGGUUCAUGGGUUCAUUCUUGAAGUCAGCAAGACCAAGAACCCACCAGAAGGAACCAAUUCCGGACACAGACUCACUGCAACCUCCACCUCCUGGAUUCAAGUGAUUCUCCUGCCUCAGCCUCCGGAGUAGCUGUGCCUACAGGCACAAGCCACCACACACGGCUAAUUUUUUGUAUUUUUAGUAGAGAUGGGGUUUCACCAUGUUGCUCAGGCUGGUCUCCAACUCCUGAGCUCAAGUGAUCCACCUGUCUCGGCCUCCCAAAGUGUUGGGAUACAUGUGUGAGCCACUGUGCCCGGCCUCCUCUGGAUUAGUUCUUACAGGAAUAGAUUAGUUCUUGCUCGAGCAAGUUGUUAUAAAAGUGAGGUUGCCUCUAGUGUUUUGCAUCCUCACAUAUGUCUGCUUACCUCUUGACCUCUCUCUGUGUUAUGACCCAGCACAAAAGCCCUUACCAGAAGCCAAGCAGAUGCUGAUGCCACACCCCUUGGACUUCUCAGUCUACAGAGCCAUGAAACGAAUAAACCUCUCUUUAUAAAUUA